Molecule: long non-coding RNA, 1353 nt
Organism: Esox lucius (northern pike)
Lineage: Eukaryota; Metazoa; Chordata; Actinopteri; Esociformes; Esocidae
Source: Ensembl
UGGAAAAUGACUUGGAUGUGGGAAUAAAGAACAGGACAACAAAUCCCAAAAAGGAAGACAAACUGAAAGUCAUGAAAAAAAGUUCAAACGUACAACAUGCUACAGAUAAUGACAAACAAAGAAAAGUAAUAAAAGGAAGUCCAAAUGAACAAAAUGCCAAAGGACAUGUUAAAAUUGUAAGGAAACAUGUUCAAGAAGAUACUGACAUGGAUUUUUUUCUUGCAGAAUUAGAGCAACUGGAAAAUGACUUGGAUGUGGGAGUAAUGCACAGAACAUCAAAUCCAAAACAUCAAAUCCAAAUCCAAAACGAAGACAAACAAAAAUUUGUGGAUGAAAGUCAUAAGGAACAACAUGCUACAGAGGAUGAUAAACAGAGCAAAGUUGUCAAAGGAAAUGCAAAGCAACAACAUGAUAUGAAGUUAGAGAAACAAGCAAAAGACGAAACCGAAGGGAAUUUGUCAAGUGCCUGGGGAUCAAAUUCCAAAAAGGUAGACACACUUAAAGAUGCAAAAGAAAGUUCCAAGGACAAACAUGCUAGAGAGGAUGACAAAAAAAGAAAAGAAAAUGAACUCAUUCAAGAUGAAAAAACUGCCAAAGAACAUGUGAAAAAUAUAGGCAAACAAGUUGAAGAGACUACCAUGGAUUUGGUAAUUGAAGACCUUGAACUGCUGGAAAGUGGGAAUGAUGGGGGAUUGAAGCUCAAGAGAUCAAAUACUAAAAUGGAAGACAAACUUAAAGUGACAAAAGAAAGUCCAAAUGAAGAACAGGCUAAAAGAUUCGAGACACAAGUAAAAAAAGAAACCAAAGUGAAUUUGUCUAUUGAAAAGCUAGCACUAAUGGAAAAAGACACCGAUGGAGGAAUGAAGAACAUGAGAUCAAAUCCCAAAAAGGAAAACAAACAAAGAAAAGCACUGAAAGAAAGACAAAUAGAACAAAAUGCCAAAGGAAGUAACAACGGAAAGACAAAGGACACACAAGUCAUAGAAGAGACCGACGCAACCUACAAGAAAGAAAUCCAAACAGAGAUGCCGAAGUCAAUUCUUGACAAGAUACGCAAUAAAAUCGACCAACACAGAAUCCAAAAGAAGGAAAAACAGAAACAAAAAAAUCUUAAAUUCCUUCAAGAAGCAUUGACCACUCAUGAAGUAUUAGAUGUGGCAUUAAACAUACAUGCCAAAAAGAAGCCUAGAAAAUGGGUCAAAUGCCAGGAUUUUUCAAUAUUUCAGUGUAAAUGAACUGCACCGUAGAUUCCCUGGAUGCUGCAAUCAACUGAAACGUGCCAUGUGGUUCUGGAACAUGAUUUUCUUAAUUUGUAUUCAAGAUCAAAUAAACUAGUGUGUUGUCCACAAGCAU